Molecule: long non-coding RNA, 157 nt
Organism: Saccostrea cuccullata (small rock oyster)
Lineage: Eukaryota; Metazoa; Mollusca; Bivalvia; Ostreida; Ostreidae
Exons: 3
Source: RefSeq, a predicted model, not a curated record
CCAUAUAAUGGAGAAAUAGACAGCAAUAUACUAGACAUCAAUGAAGAACAAGAAUUAAUUGCCCAUCAGCAGCAGUUACCUGCCCUUGUCAUAGAGAAUCUAGGAAUGGAGCCAAACAAUAUGAGAGUUCUCUCCCCUGUACAGUUGAUAGAGAUAU